AUACAGAGGGUGCAAGCGUUAAUCGGAAUUACUGGGCGUAAAGGGCGCGUAGGUGGUUAGUUUAGUCAGAUGUUAAAUCCCCGAGCUUAACUUGGGAAUUGCAUCUGAUACUGGCUAACUAGAGUACAGUAGAGGGAAGUGGAAUUUCCGGUGUAGCGGUGAAAUGCGUAGAUAUCGGAAGGAACACCAGUGGCGAAGGCGACUUCCUGGACUGAAACUGACACUGAGGCGCGAAAGCGUGGGGAGCAAACAGGAUUAGAUACCCCGGUAGUCC
This 274-nucleotide ribosomal RNA is filed under the name uncultured bacterium. Its description in RNAcentral is "partial 16S ribosomal RNA". It matches the Rfam family "Bacterial small subunit ribosomal RNA", at positions 523 to 796 of the family's 1533-position model. The record is from RNAcentral.